CCCUGCAAAAAUAGAAUAUUUGGUUUUGGUCCUUGGUAUUUUGUUUUAAUCCUUGUAAAAUCAUUUCUUAUUGAAAUUGGUCCCUAUAAUAUUCAUUUUAGUCCUCGUUUUGAGGGACUAAAAUCAAAUAUUCUACAUAUUACAAGGACCAAAUCCAAUAUGAAUCAAUUUUACAAGGAAUAAAACAAAAUACAAAGGUCCAAAACCCAAUUUUUUAUAUUUGCAGGGA
MicroRNA precursor from Medicago truncatula (barrel medic), 229 nucleotides. It matches the Rfam family "MIR2630 microRNA precursor family". The record is from Rfam. NCBI's taxonomy places the organism in Eukaryota, Viridiplantae, Streptophyta, Magnoliopsida, Fabales, Fabaceae.